GAAAAGAAACCAACAGGGAUUGCCUCAGUAACGGCGAGUGAAGCGGCAACAGCUCAAAUUUGAAAUCUGGCCCUCGGGUCCGAGUUGUAAUUUGCAGAGGAUGCUUCGGGCGAGGCUUUGAUCGAGUCCCCUGGAAUGGGGCGCCACAGAGGGUGAGAGCCCCGUAUGAUCAGCCGCCGAACCCGUGUGAAGCUCCUUCGACGAGUCGAGUAGUUUGGGAAUGCUGCUCUAAAUGGGAGGUAAAUUUCUUCUAAAGCUAAAUACCGGCCAGAGACCGAUAGCGCACAAGUAGAGUGAUCGAAAGAUGAAAAGCACUUUGAAAAGAGAGUUAAAAAGCACGUGAAAUUGUUGAAAGGGAAGCGCCUAUGACCAGACUCGGGCUCUUGGGAUCAUCCGCCCUUCUGGGCGGUGCACUCCCUCGUUCUCGGGCCAGCAUCGGUUCUCCUCGGGGGAUAAAGGCGCCAGGAACGUGGCUCCCUUCGGGGAGUGUUAUAGCCUGGCGCGUCAUGCUCCGGGGGGGACCGAGGACCGCGCUUCGGCAUGGAUGCUGGCGUAAUGGUCACCGGCGACCCGUCUUGAAACACGGACCAAGGAGUCAAGCAUUAGGGCGAGUGUACGGGUGUAAAACCCGAACGCGCAGUGAAAGCGAACGCUGGUGAGAGCUUCGGCGCAUCACCGACCGAUCCUGAAGUCUUCGGAUGGAUUUGAGUAGGAGCCUUAACGCUUGGACCCGAAAGAUGGUGAACUAUGCCUGAAUAGGGUGAAGCCAGAGGAAACUCUGGUGGAGGCUCGCAGCGGUUCUGACGUGCAAAUCGAUCGUCAAAUUUGGGCAUAGGGGCGAAAGACUAAUCGAACCAUCUAGU
RNAcentral lists this ribosomal RNA (863 nucleotides) under Ophioceras commune. Its description in RNAcentral is "LSU rRNA". It matches the Rfam family "Eukaryotic large subunit ribosomal RNA", at positions 56 to 948 of the family's 3401-position model. The record is from RNAcentral. Lineage: Eukaryota; Fungi; Ascomycota; Sordariomycetes; Magnaporthales; Ophioceraceae.